Molecule: ribosomal RNA, 253 nt
Filed under: uncultured bacterium
Lineage: Bacteria
Description: partial 16S ribosomal RNA
Rfam family: Bacterial small subunit ribosomal RNA
Source: RNAcentral
UACAGAGGGUGCAAGCGUUAAUCGGAAUUACUGGGCGUAAAGCGUGCGUAGGUGGUUUGUUAAGUCAGGCGUGAAAUCCUCGGGCUCAACCUGGGAACUGCGCUUGAUACUGGCAGACUCGAGUGUGGUAGAGGAUAGUGGAAUUCCCGGUGUAGCGGUGAAAUGCGUAGAUAUCGGGAGGAACAUCAGUGGCGAAGGCGGCUAUCUGGACUAACACUGACACUGAGGUACGAAAGCGUGGGUAGCAAACAGG